GGCCGGGUGUUGCAAUGGUAGCAUGCUAGUUUCCGGUACUAGAGGUUGCGUGUUCGAGUCACGCCUCGGUCG
This is a transfer RNA of Aspergillus carbonarius ITEM 5010, 72 nucleotides long. It matches the Rfam family "tRNA". From Rfam's summary of the family: Transfer RNA (tRNA) molecules are approximately 80 nucleotides in length. The record is from Rfam. Lineage: Eukaryota; Fungi; Ascomycota; Eurotiomycetes; Eurotiales; Aspergillaceae.